AUAAAUCCUAUGAAGGGAAGCAAGUAAGCUUGGAAACAGAUUUACAGAGAGCUGCAGAGGGUGGAAUUGCAGUAAUUAUGUCUAGGCCGAAUGGGUCCUUGAGGAUUUUGGCGAAAUGGCAGUAGCCAAUAACGUGGGCUUCAUGUUAUAGAAGCAGGAUAUAAAGUCCCUUGGGAUGGAGUAUCUGUAAUGAGGAGAAGCAUUUUGCUUCUUGAAUUAGGUGGUACCGCGUUUAUUACGCCCUAUAG
This 248-nucleotide non-coding RNA is filed under the name Lutispora thermophila. RNAcentral's name for it is "T-box sequence". It matches the Rfam family "T-box leader". From Rfam's summary of the family: Uncharged tRNA acts as the effector for transcription antitermination of genes in the T-box leader family. T-boxes are found upstream of many aminoacyl-tRNA synthetase genes and some amino acid biosynthetic genes usually in Gram-positive bacteria. Lineage: Bacteria; Bacillati; Bacillota; Clostridia; Lutisporales; Lutisporaceae. The record is from RNAcentral.